Melampsora larici-populina 98AG31 is the source of this 89-nucleotide transfer RNA. It matches the Rfam family "tRNA". Rfam says of the family: Transfer RNA (tRNA) molecules are approximately 80 nucleotides in length. Their secondary structure includes four short double-helical elements and three loops (D, anti-codon, and T loops). NCBI's taxonomy places the organism in Eukaryota, Fungi, Basidiomycota, Pucciniomycetes, Pucciniales, Melampsoraceae. The record is from Rfam.
GGCCCUUUGGCCAAGUGGUAAGGUGUUCUCCUCCGGCCCCGCGGGGGAUCGCAAGAGAAAGAUCGCUGGUUCAAUCCCAGCAUGGGUCG